UACGGAGGGCGCAAGCGUUGUUCGGAAUCACUGGGCGUAAAGCGCGGGUAGGCGGCCGAGGAAGUCGGAUUUGAAAUCCCGAGGCUCAACCUCGGAACUGCAUUCGAAACUGCUCGGCUUGAGUCCUGUAGAGGAUGGCGGAAUUCCCGGUGUAGGGGUGAAAUCCGUAGAUAUCGGGAGGAACACCAGUUGCGAAGGCGGCCAUCUAGACGGUUACUGACGCUGAGACGCGAAAGCGUGGGGAGCAAACAGG
RNAcentral lists this ribosomal RNA (253 nucleotides) under uncultured bacterium. Its description in RNAcentral is "partial 16S ribosomal RNA". It matches the Rfam family "Bacterial small subunit ribosomal RNA", at positions 524 to 776 of the family's 1533-position model. The record is from RNAcentral.